RNAcentral lists this long non-coding RNA (288 nucleotides) under Homo sapiens (human). Its description in RNAcentral is "non-protein coding lnc-MPDZ-7:1". The record is from RNAcentral. Lineage: Eukaryota; Metazoa; Chordata; Mammalia; Primates; Hominidae.
ACCUGAAGCUCGGCGUCCGUGAUGGUCUAGGGGGCUCCCGAGGCGAUCAGGCAGUGUCAGUCUUCAGCUGCUAAGCCGAGAAGAUCUGGGAAGGAGUCAGUCAGAGAGGCUUGGGCCAGAGUUCCAGGGAAGCUGGGAGUGGCUGCCAGGUGAGUUGAACAGUCCGAUUUUCAGUGGGGUCCCACACAGAUGGGACAUGGCUUAGGAGGAAUCCUAGGCUGCGGGCAUUCCUUGGCCCAGUGGCCAGAUUUCCGGCACAUGUAGCAAGCUCCUGUGGGAGGAGGUUCU